This 447-nucleotide ribosomal RNA is filed under the name uncultured bacterium. RNAcentral's name for it is "bacterial SSU rRNA". It matches the Rfam family "Bacterial small subunit ribosomal RNA", at positions 355 to 825 of the family's 1533-position model. The record is from RNAcentral.
UAAGGAAUAUUGCGCAAUGGGCGCAAGCCUGAUCCAGCCAUGCCGCGUGAACGAUGAAGGCCUUAGGGUUGUAAAGUUCUUUUGUCAGGGAAGAUAAUGACGGUACCUGAAGAAUAAGCACCGGCUAACUUCGUGCCAGCAGCCGCGGUAAUACGAAGGGUGCUAGCGUUGUUCGGAAUCACUGGGCGUAAAGCGCGCGUAGGCGGCUUAACAAGUCAGAGGUGAAAGCCUGGAGCUCAACUCCAGAACUGCCUUUGAAACUGUUAAGCUUGAGUGUCGGAGGGGAUAGCGGAAUUUCUAAUGUAGAGGUGAAAUUCGUAGAUAUUAGAAGGAACACCGGUGGCGAAGGCGGCUAUCUGGACGACAACUGACGCUGAGGCGCGAAAGCGUGGGGAUCAAACAGGAUUAGAUACCCGGGUAGUCCCUGAGCGGGCUGGCAAGGCGCAU